RNAcentral lists this ribosomal RNA (471 nucleotides) under uncultured eukaryote. Its description in RNAcentral is "SSU rRNA". It matches the Rfam family "Eukaryotic small subunit ribosomal RNA", at positions 106 to 565 of the family's 1831-position model. The record is from RNAcentral.
UCACACCUAAUCUACUGGAUAGUUAACAGUUACUUGGAUAACUGCGGUAAUUCUGGAGCUAAUACAUGCACAAAGCCCCGAACUUACGUGAGGGGCGCUUUUAUUAGAUCAAAACCAAACGGCUUCGGCUGUAUCCUUGGUGACUCUGAAUAACUUUGGGCUGAUCGCAUGGCCUAGCGCCGGCGACAUAUCCUUCGAAGGUGUGCCCUAUCAACUGUCGACUGUGGCAUAGACGCCCACAGUGGUUUUGACGGGUAACGGGGAAUCAGGGUUCGAUUCCGGAGAGGGAGCCUUAAAAACGGCUACCACAUCUAAGGAAGGCAGCAGGCACGCAAAUUACCCGAAUGACCGAAGGUCGAGGUAGUGACGAAAAAAUAACGAUACGGGACUCGAUCUGAGGCCCCGUAAUCGGAAUGAGUACGACUUUAAAAACCGUCCCCGAGGAAUCUAUUGAGGAGGGCGAAGUCUGGU